RNAcentral lists this ribosomal RNA (507 nucleotides) under uncultured bacterium. Its description in RNAcentral is "partial 16S ribosomal RNA". It matches the Rfam family "Bacterial small subunit ribosomal RNA", at positions 30 to 523 of the family's 1533-position model. The record is from RNAcentral.
AUUGAACGCUGGCGGCAGGCCUAACACAUGCAAGUCGAGCGGCAGCGGGAGGAAGCUUGCUUCCUUGCCGGCGAGCGGCGGACGGGUGAGUAAGGUAUGGGGAUCUGGCCGAAGGCGGGGGAUAACCACUGGAAACGGUGGCUAAUACCGCAUAAUCUCUAAGGAGCAAAGUGGGGGACCGUUCAGGCCUCACACCUUCGGAUGAACCCAUAUGAAAUUAGCUAGUAGGUGGGGUAAUGGCUCACCUAGGCGACGAUCUCUAGCUGGUCUGAGAGGAUGAUCAGCCACACUGGGACUGAGACACGGCCCAGACUCCUACGGGAGGCAGCAGUGAGGAAUAUUGCACAAUGGGCGCAAGCCUGAUGCAGCCAUGCCGCGUGUAUGAAGAAGGCCUUCGGGUUGUAAGGUACUUUCAGUCGUGAGGAAGGUGUUAAGGUUAAUAACCUUAGCAAUUGACGUUAGCGACAGAAGAAGCACCGGCUAACUCCGUGCCAGCCGCCGCCGUAA